GCCAUGCCGCGUGUGUGAAGAAGGCCUUAUGGUUGUAAAGCACUUUAAGCGAGGAGGAGGCUACUUUAGUUAAUACCUAGAGAUAGUGGACGUUACUCGCAGAAUAAGCACCGGCUAACUCUGUGCCAGCAGCCGCGGUAAUACAGAGGGUGCGAGCGUUAAUCGGAUUUACUGGGCGUAAAGCGUGCGUAGGCGGYUUAUUAAGUCGGAUGUGAAAUCCCCGAGCUUAACUUGGGAAUUGCAUUCGAUACUGGUGAGCUAGAGUAUGGAAGAGGAUGGUAGAAUUCCAGGUGUAGCGGUGAAAUGCGA
RNAcentral lists this ribosomal RNA (309 nucleotides) under uncultured Acinetobacter sp. Its description in RNAcentral is "bacterial SSU rRNA". It matches the Rfam family "Bacterial small subunit ribosomal RNA", at positions 391 to 691 of the family's 1533-position model. The record is from RNAcentral. Lineage: Bacteria; Pseudomonadati; Pseudomonadota; Gammaproteobacteria; Moraxellales; Moraxellaceae.